GAUUUGUCUGGUUAAUUCCGUUAACGAACGAGACCUUAGCCUGCUAAAUAGGAUCACCAACUUUCUGGUUGACGGAGGCCUUCUUAGAGGGACGUCGCGUGUCUAACGAGGGGAAGUGUGAGGCAAUAACAGGUCUGUGAUGCCCUUAGAUGUUCUGGGCUGCACGCGCGCUACACUGAUGCGUUCAACGAGUUCUACCUGCUCCGGAAGGAAUGGGCAACCUUGGUGAAAGCACAUCGUGAUGGGGAUAGAUUAUUGCAAUUUUUAAUCUUCAACGAGGAAUUCCUAGUAAGCGCAAGUCAUCAACUUGCACUGAUUACGUCCCUGCCCUUUGUACACACCGCCCGUCGCUCCUACCGAUUGAAUUAUUUGGUGAAUACUUGGGACCGUGUCGCGAUGAGUUCUGGUUGCGAUGUGGGAACUUGAGUAACCUGAUCAUUUAGAGGAAGGAGAAGCGAACAAGGUUUGCCGAGUGAACCUGCGGAAGGAUCA
This 492-nucleotide ribosomal RNA is filed under the name uncultured Syndiniales. Its description in RNAcentral is "bacterial SSU rRNA". It matches the Rfam family "Eukaryotic small subunit ribosomal RNA", at positions 1308 to 1828 of the family's 1831-position model. The record is from RNAcentral. Lineage: Eukaryota; Dinophyceae; Syndiniales.